GGUAGGGUAGCUGAGUGGUUUAGCUCUUCUAAUCUUUUAGAAGGUAUACGUAGGUUCGAUUCCUACCCCGUACCA
RNAcentral lists this transfer RNA (75 nucleotides) under Enterococcus phage phiSHEF13. RNAcentral describes it as "tRNA-OTHER". It matches the Rfam family "tRNA". From Rfam's summary of the family: Transfer RNA (tRNA) molecules are approximately 80 nucleotides in length. Their secondary structure includes four short double-helical elements and three loops (D, anti-codon, and T loops). Lineage: Duplodnaviria; Heunggongvirae; Uroviricota; Caudoviricetes; Herelleviridae. The record is from RNAcentral.